This 468-nucleotide ribosomal RNA is filed under the name uncultured bacterium. Its description in RNAcentral is "partial 16S ribosomal RNA". It matches the Rfam family "Bacterial small subunit ribosomal RNA", at positions 28 to 507 of the family's 1533-position model. The record is from RNAcentral.
GACGAACGCUGGCGGCGUGCUUAACACAUGCAAGUCGAACGGAAAGGCCCUGCUUUUGUGGGGUUCUCGAGUGGCGAACGGGUGAGUAACACGUGAGUAACCUGCCCUUGACUUUGGGAUAACUUCAGGAAACUGGGGCUAAUACCGGAUAGGAGCUCCUGCUGCAUGGUGGGGGUUGGAAAUUUUCGGCGGUUGGGGAUGGACUCGCGGCUGAUCAGCUUGUUGGUGGGGUAGUGGCUUACCAAGGGUUUGACGGGUAGCCGGCCUGAGAGGGUGACCGGCCACAUUGGGACUGAGAUACGGCCCAGACUGCUACGGGAGGCAGCAGUGGGGAAUAUUGCACAGUGGGCGGGAGCGUGAUGCAGCAACGCCGCGUGCGGGAUGACGGCCUUCGGGUUGUAAACCGCUUUCGCCUGUGACGCAGCGUGAGUGACGGUAAUGGGUAAAGAAGCACCGGCUAACUACGUG